GCGUUGAAGGCGAAGCGUGAGCUUUACUGGAGCGUGUGGAAAAGCAAAUGUAGGUAUAAGUAACGAUAAAGGGGGUGAGAAACCCCCUCGCCGCAAGACUAAGGUUUCCUGAUCAACGCUAAUCGGAUCAGGGUUAGUCGGGUCCUAAGGCUCAGCCGAACGGUGAGGCCGAUGGCAGAACAGGUUAAUAUUCCUGUACUACCUAUAGGAGUGAUGUGGAGACGGAGGAGUGACAACGCCGCGGACUGACGGAAUAGUCCGUUAAAGGGUGUAGAUGUUGAUUAUCCCAGGCAAAUCCGGGAUAAGAGUCGAACCUGACAGUAUACCAAUUUCCUCGGAAAACGGUAAUAGUGCGUGUAAACAUACUCCCAAGAAAAUCCGCUAAACUUAAUCUUAUAGGUACCCGUACCGUAAACGGACACACGUAGUCGGGUUGAAUAUACUCAGGCGCUUGAGUGAAUCACGGUUAAGGAACUAGGCAAAUUGACCCUGUAACUUCGGGAUAAAGGGUCCCUACCCGGUGACGGGAGGGCGCAGAGAAUAGGUCCAGGCAACUGUUUAACAAAAACACAGGGCUGUGCAAAAUUGAAAGAUCACGUAUACAGCCUGACACCUGCCCGGUGCUGGAAGGUUAAGAGGAGAUGUCAUCGCAAGAGAAGCAUUGAAUUGAAGCCCCAGUAAACGGCGGCCGUAACUAUAACGGUCCUAAGGUAGCGAAAUUCCUUGUCGGGUAAGUUCCGACCUGCACGAAUGGUGUAAUGAUCUGGACACUGUCUCAACCGUGAGCUCAGUGAAAUUGUAGUAUCGGUGAAGAUGCCGAUUACCCGCGAUGGGACGAAAAGACCCCGUGAACCUUUACUAUAGCUUAACAUUGAAUUUGGGUAAUUGAUGUGUAGGAUAGGCCGGAGACUUUGAAGCAGGUACGCCAGUAUUUGUGGAGUCGCUGUUGAAAUACGGCCCUUUGGUUAUUUGAGUUCUAACUCGCUGAUGCGAGGACACUGUUUGGUGGGUAGUUUGACUGGG
This 1023-nucleotide ribosomal RNA is filed under the name Bacteroides fragilis. RNAcentral describes it as "partial 23S ribosomal RNA". It matches the Rfam family "Bacterial large subunit ribosomal RNA", at positions 1247 to 2278 of the family's 2925-position model. Lineage: Bacteria; Pseudomonadati; Bacteroidota; Bacteroidia; Bacteroidales; Bacteroidaceae. The record is from RNAcentral.